UGAGCUGUCUGCUGCUGUUGAUUUGAUUUAUUGAAAUUUCUCAUCUUAGCUCAAUUGGUGCACUGAAUUUUAAAUGGAGCAACUUAUUUCUGCAAAGGAUUGGCGUGCAAGGGUUCCCCGGUCACAAAUCACGACACGAAAACGUGCAUCGAAUGCAGACGACGUCCCGAAAGUCUACACAUGGGGAUGUAAAGGAAUUACCCAUUCAUGUCAACAAACAACCCGUUUCGUUCGACCGGAACAAGAAUUAAAGCAACUAGCCCGAUGUCGUUCAAGAUUUCCAUCGUGGCCCCAAGAAUAACUCGUCGGCUUGGAUU
Daphnia pulex (common water flea) is the source of this 317-nucleotide long non-coding RNA. RefSeq lists it as uncharacterized. The record is from RefSeq and is a predicted model, not a curated record. The transcript has 2 exons. NCBI's taxonomy places the organism in Eukaryota, Metazoa, Arthropoda, Branchiopoda, Diplostraca, Daphniidae.